ACAUCCAAGUCGAGCGAAUCGAUGGGAGCUUGCUCCCUGAGAUUAGCGGCGGACGGGUGAGUAACACGUGGGCAACCUGCCUAUAAGACUGGGAUAACUUCGGGAAACCGGAGCUAAUACCGGAUACGUUCUUUUCUCGCAUGAGAGAAGAUGGAAAGACGGUUUCGGCUGUCACUUAUAGAUGGGCCCGCGGCGCAUUAGCUAGUUGGUGAGGUAAUGGCUCACCAAGGCCGACGAUGCGUAGCCCGACCUGAGAGGGUGAUCGGCCACACUGGGACUGAGACACGGCCCAGACUCCUACGGGAGGCAGCAGUAGGGAAUCUUCCGCAAUGGACGAAAGUCUGACGGAGCAACGCCGCGUGAACGAAGAAGCCUUCGGGUCGUAAAAGUUCUGUUGUUAGGGAAGAACAAGUCCAGAGUAACUGCUGGUACCU
This 434-nucleotide ribosomal RNA is filed under the name Peribacillus simplex. Its description in RNAcentral is "bacterial SSU rRNA". It matches the Rfam family "Bacterial small subunit ribosomal RNA", at positions 53 to 480 of the family's 1533-position model. Lineage: Bacteria; Bacillati; Bacillota; Bacilli; Caryophanales; Bacillaceae. The record is from RNAcentral.